This is a non-coding RNA of Larimichthys crocea (large yellow croaker), 83 nucleotides long. Lineage: Eukaryota; Metazoa; Chordata; Actinopteri; Sciaenidae. The record is from Rfam.
ACCAGGAUGGCCGAGUGGUUAAGGCAUUGCACUCAAGAUGCAAUGGAUUCAAAUCCUCGUGGGUUCAAAUCCCACUCCUGGUA